This 25-nucleotide non-coding RNA is filed under the name Drosophila melanogaster (fruit fly). The record is from RNAcentral. Lineage: Eukaryota; Metazoa; Arthropoda; Insecta; Diptera; Drosophilidae.
UGUAUGAUUAGCGCCAUUAAAAUGU